RNAcentral lists this ribosomal RNA (510 nucleotides) under uncultured bacterium. RNAcentral describes it as "bacterial SSU rRNA". It matches the Rfam family "Bacterial small subunit ribosomal RNA", at positions 8 to 507 of the family's 1533-position model. The record is from RNAcentral.
AGAGUUUGAUCAUGGCUCAGAGUGAACGCUGGCGGCAGGCCUAAUACAUGCAAGUCGAACGGCAGCACAGUGGAGCUUGCUCCAUGGGUGGCGAGUGGCGGACGGGUGAGGAAUACAUGGGAAUCUGCCCAGUCGUGGGGGAUAACGUAGGGAAACUUACGCUAAUACCGCAUGCGCCCUUCGGGGGAAAGCCGGGGACCGUAAGGCCUGGCGCGAUUGGAUGAGCCCAUGUCGGAUUAGCUAGUUGGCGGGGUAACGGCCCACCAAGGCGACGAUCCGUAGCUGGUCUGAGAGGAUGAUCAGCCACACUGGAACUGAGACACGGUCCAGACUCCUACGGGAGGCAGCAGUAGGGAAUAUUGGACAAUGGGCGCAAGCCUGAUCCAGCCAUGCCGCGUGAGUGAAGAAGGCCCUCGGGUUGUAAAGCUCUUUUGUCCGGAAAGAAAAGCACUGGGUUAAUACCCCGGUGUCCUGACGGUACCGGAAGAAUAAGCACCGGCUAACUUCGUG